GUGCCAGCAGCCGCGGUGAUACGUAGGGUGCGAGCGUUGUCCGGAUUUAUUGGGCGUAAAGGGCUCGUAGGUGGUUGAUCGCGUCGGAAGUGAAAUCUUGGGGCUUAACCCUGAGCGUGCUUUCGAUACGGGUUGACUUGAGGAAGGUAGGGGAGAAUGGAAUUCCUGGUGGAGCGGUGGAAUGCGCAGAUAUCAGGAGGAACACCAGUGGCGAAGGCGGUUCUCUGGACCUUUCCUGACGCUGAGGAGCGAAAGCGUGGGGAGCGAACAGGCUUAGAUACCCUGGUAGUCC
Molecule: ribosomal RNA, 292 nt
Filed under: uncultured microorganism
Description: partial 16S ribosomal RNA
Rfam family: Bacterial small subunit ribosomal RNA
Source: RNAcentral